RNAcentral lists this ribosomal RNA (247 nucleotides) under uncultured bacterium. Its description in RNAcentral is "partial 16S ribosomal RNA". It matches the Rfam family "Bacterial small subunit ribosomal RNA", at positions 523 to 769 of the family's 1533-position model. The record is from RNAcentral.
AUACGGAGGAUGCAAGCGUUAUCCGGAUUUAUUGGGUUUAAAGGGUGCGUAGGCGGAAUAAUAAGUCAGUUGUGAAAGCCUGUAGCUUAACUAUAGAAUUGCCAUUGAUACUGUUAUUCUUGAGUACAGUUGAGGUAGGCGGAAUGUGUAAUGUAGCGGUGAAAUGCUUAGAUAUUACACAGAACACCGAUUGCGAAGGCAGCUUACUAAGCUGGUACUGACGCUGAGGCACGAAAGCGUGGGGAGC